Molecule: ribosomal RNA, 398 nt
Filed under: Pantoea sp.
Lineage: Bacteria; Pseudomonadati; Pseudomonadota; Gammaproteobacteria; Enterobacterales; Erwiniaceae
Description: bacterial SSU rRNA
Rfam family: Bacterial small subunit ribosomal RNA
Source: RNAcentral
GACAGGUGCUGCAUGGCUGUCGUCAGCUCGUGUUGUGAAAUGUUGGGUUAAGUCCCGCAACGAGCGCAACCCUUAUCCUUUGUUGCCAGCGAUUCGGUCGGGAACUCAAAGGAGACUGCCGGUGAUAAACCGGAGGAAGGUGGGGAUGACGUCAAGUCAUCAUGGCCCUUACGAGUAGGGCUACACACGUGCUACAAUGGCGCAUACAAAGAGAAGCGACCUCGCGAGAGCAAGCGGACCUCACAAAGUGCGUCGUAGUCCGGAUCGGAGUCUGCAACUCGACUCCGUGAAGUCGGAAUCGCUAGUAAUCGUGGAUCAGAAUGCCACGGUGAAUACGUUCCCGGACGUAGUACACUCCUCCCGUCGCAACCAUAGUGAGUAGGCAAGCUAACCAAGUC